Molecule: long non-coding RNA, 1484 nt
Filed under: Brassica napus (rape)
Lineage: Eukaryota; Viridiplantae; Streptophyta; Magnoliopsida; Brassicales; Brassicaceae
Description: long non-coding RNA (BNAP_LNC000123)
Source: RNAcentral
GUAAUAACUGGCAUGUUUUUUGGGAAAUUAUCAAAAAUACCAUUUUCAAAGUAUCAUUUUUCAUGUUUACACUAACCAGUUUUACCACCAUCUUUAAUGAAGGGUAAAAGACAUUUAUAACCUUUUGAUUAACUUUGACAAAAAAAAACAUAAUGUAAACUAAUCUAAACUUAAAAAUCAACUCUAAACCCUAAAUCAUCAACUCUAAACACUAAACUAUGAAACAUCAACUCUAAAUCCUAAACCCCGAAACAUCAACUCUAAACCCUAAACGUAAACCCUAAACCCAAAAUCUAAACUUAAAACGUCAACUUUAAACCCUAAAUCAUCAACUCUAAACCCUAAACCAUGAAACAUCAACUCUAAACCCUAAACGUAAACCCUAAACCUAAACUUAAAACAUCAACUUUAAACAAUAAAUCAUCAACUCUAAACCCUAAACCAUGAAACAUCAACUCUAAACCCUAAACCCCGAAACACCAACUAUAAACCUUCAAAUCUAAACCCUAAAACAUCAACUCUAAACCCAAAACGUAAACCCUAAACCCUAAACCCUAAACCCUAUAUUUUUCUGAAAUUCGAACCCAGAACCCUAAAACCCUAAACUAUCAAAUCUAAACCAUAAAAAUCAACUCUAAACCCUAAACGUUAAUAUUCUAAAGGAAAUUUAUAUUAUAUAGUCUUUUAUUUUGUUUAUUCAUCUAAUCUGUUUGGUUUGAUAUUACAUUAUUCUCAUUUUGGACAUGAUAUGUAUACAAUAUAGUACAAAUAUGUAGAGCUUGUAAGUUUUCGGAGUACUUAAAAUAGUCAUGAUAUGAUACUGGGUAUAUAAUAUAAAUAAUUUUGUACAAAAAUAUGAGUAUGUUAAAUCAUUUACAAAGUUACCUUGAACCGAUUUGUUCAGUUAAUAAACAAAGGGUAAUAACUGGCAUGUUUUUUGGGCAGUUGCCAAAAAUUCCAUUUUCAAAGUAUCAUUUUUCAUAUUUACACUAACCACUUUUACCACCAUCUUUAAUGAAGGGUAAAAGAAAUUUAUAACCUUUUGAUUAACUUUGACAAAAAAAAACAUAAGGUUAACUAAUCUAAACUUAAAAAUCAACUCUAAACCCUAAAUCAUCAACUCUAAACACUAACUAUGAAACAUCAACUCUAAACCCUAAACCCCGAAACAUCAACUCUAAAACCUAAACUCUAAAACCUAAACAUUCAAAUCUAAACCCUAAAACACCAACUCUAAACCCUAAACAUAAACUCUAAACCCUAAAUCUAAACAUAAAACAUCAACUCUAAACCCUAAAUCAUCAACUCUAAACCCUAAACCAUGAAACAUCAACUCUAAACCCUAAACCCCGAAACACCAACUCUAAACCUUCAAAUCUAAACCCUAAAACAUCAACUCUAAACCCUAAACGUAAACCCUAAACCCUAGACCCUAAACCCUAUAUUUUUCUGAAAUUCGAACUCUGAACCCUAAAACCCUAAAC